GACGAACGCUGGCGGCGUGCUUAACACAUGCAAGUCGAACGGAAAGGCCCUUCUUUUGUUGGGUGCUCGAGUGGCGAACGGGUGAGUAACACGUGAGUAACCUGCCCUUGACUGUGGGAUAACUUCAGGAAACUGGGGCUAAUACCGGAUAGGAGCUCCUGCUGCAUGGUGGGGGUUGGAAAGUUUCGGCGGGUGGGGAUGGACUCGCGGGUUAUCAGCUUGUUGGUGGGGUAGUGGCUUACCAAGGCUUUGACGGGUAGCCGGCCUGAGAGGGUGACCGGCCACAUUGGGACUGAGAUACGGCCCAGACUCCUACGGGAGGCAGCAGUGGGGAAUAUUGCACAAUGGGCGGAAGCCUGAUGCAGCAACGCCGCGUGCGGGAUGACGGCCUUCGGGUUGUAAACCGCUUUCGCCUGUGACGAAGCGUGAGUGACGGUAAUGGGUAAAGAAGCACCGGCUAACUACGUG
This 468-nucleotide ribosomal RNA is filed under the name uncultured bacterium. RNAcentral's name for it is "partial 16S ribosomal RNA". It matches the Rfam family "Bacterial small subunit ribosomal RNA", at positions 28 to 507 of the family's 1533-position model. The record is from RNAcentral.